RNAcentral lists this ribosomal RNA (253 nucleotides) under uncultured bacterium. RNAcentral's name for it is "partial 16S ribosomal RNA". It matches the Rfam family "Bacterial small subunit ribosomal RNA", at positions 524 to 776 of the family's 1533-position model. The record is from RNAcentral.
UACGGAGGAUGCAAGCGUUAUCCGGAAUGAUUGGGCGUAAAGCGUCCGCAGGUGGCAAUGUAAGUCUGCUGUUAAAGAGUGAGGCUCAACCUCAUAAGAGCAGUGGAAACUACAUAGCUAGAGUGCGUUCGGGGCAAAGGGAAUUCCUGGUGCAGCGGUGAAAUGCGUAGAGAUCAGGAAGAACACCGGUGGCGAAGGCGCUCUGCUAGGCCGCAACUGACACUGAGGGACGAAAGCUAGGGGAGCGAAUGGG